RNAcentral lists this ribosomal RNA (498 nucleotides) under uncultured bacterium. RNAcentral describes it as "partial 16S ribosomal RNA". It matches the Rfam family "Bacterial small subunit ribosomal RNA", at positions 28 to 523 of the family's 1533-position model. The record is from RNAcentral.
GAUGAACGCUGGCGGCAGGCCUAACACAUGCAAGUCGAGCGGCAGCGCGGGGCAACCUGGCGGCGAGCGGCGGACGGGUGAGGAAUUCGUCGGAAUCUGCCUUUUUGUGGGGGAUAACGUAGGGAAACUUACGCUAAUACCGCGUACGACCUACGGGUGAAAGUGGGGGACCGCAAGGCCUCACGCAGAAAGAUGAGCCGACGACCGAUUAGCUAGUUGGUAGGGUAAAGGCCUACCAAGGCGACGAUCGGUAGCUGGUCUGAGAGGAUGAUCAGCCACACUGGGACUGAGACACGGCCCAGACUCCUACGGGAGGCAGCAGUGGGGAAUAUUGGACAAUGGGCGCAAGCCUGAUCCAGCCAUGCCGCGUGUGUGAAGAAGGCCUUCGGGUUGUAAAGCACUUUUGUCCGGAAAGAAAUCUUCCAACUUAAUACGUUGGGAGGAUGACGGUACCGGAAGAAUAAGCACCGGCUAACUUCGUGCCAGCAGCCGCAGUAA